RNAcentral lists this ribosomal RNA (254 nucleotides) under uncultured bacterium. RNAcentral describes it as "partial 16S ribosomal RNA". It matches the Rfam family "Bacterial small subunit ribosomal RNA", at positions 524 to 776 of the family's 1533-position model. The record is from RNAcentral.
UACGUAGGGUGCGAGCGUUGUCCGGAAUUAUUGGGCGUAAAGAGCUCGUAGGCGGUGUGUCGCGUCGGUCGUGAAAACUUGGGGCUUAACCCUGAGCUUGCGGUCGAUACGGGCAUCACUGGAGUUCGGCAGGGGAGACUGGAAUUCCUGGUGUAGCGGUGAAAUGCGCAGAUAUCAGGAGGAACACCGGUGGCGAAGGCGGUUCUCUGGGCAUUCCCUGACGCUGAGGAGCGAAAGUGUGGGGAGCGAACAGG